CCUCAUUCUUCAUUUUUCUGGAAAACUCAACGUCUCUUCUACUCCAGCAAAGAAAUCGACAUCGAGCGUGUUUUCCUAUGGCAUGCUGGCUUAGCUACUACUGCUGAGGCUGACUGGAUCUGAUGGUGGGCUCUCCAGGUGGUGGCAGUUAUGAUGGCGCACUCUGACAAAGUUAAGUGAUCAGUAGUUUGUGUAUUGUAUCCUAUAAUUAUGUAACUAUUUUGUCAGUGAGAAUGCUGGUUGUGUUCUAGCAACCGUUCGGUGGUUGCAUUUGCGUACAGGGUUUUCGAUAAUGGUCGAAUCAUCUUUUGUUUGAUUGUUUGGUUUUGUUGUUAUUGUUCGAUUUGUUUGUUUGUCUUCGAAUUCGAGUUGUCGGUUUGUUCUUCGUGAUGUGUGGUUUUGCCACACUGUCUCCUUCUAUUGUGUCUAAUCCACAUGUCAUUCCUCCCUCUAGCCAAAAAAUUGUCAUUUCUCCCUCUAAUUUUAAUUCUAGCCUAAAGUGUUUUGUAAUAGUUACUCAUGAUGUCAUUAUUUUGUACAGAACCCCAACCUUUACUACAUGUACUACUAUACUGGAUCUGGAGGAGUGGUUGUUCUUUGUGUAACAUUUUGUAAAUAGUUAAUCCAUCUAAUUUAUGCAGAUUACCGAGACCUAACUUGUCCCUGGACUGUGCUCAUUGGAUCUGGUAUAAUCAUUGUACCUCUUUUAAUCCAUCCAAUUAUGCAGAUUACCGAGACCUAACUUGUCCCUGGACUGUGCUAUUAGAUCUGGUAUAAUCAUUGUUCCUCUUUUAAUCCAUCCAAUUAUGCAGAUUACCGAGACCUAACUUGUCCCUGGACUGUGCUAUUGGAUCUGGUAUAAUCGUUGUGUACCUCUUUUAAUCCAUCCAAUUUAUGCAGAUUACCGAGACCUAACUUGUCCCUGGACUGUGCUAUUAGAUCUGGUAUAAUCAUUGUACCUCUUUUAAUCCAUCCAAUUUAUGCAGAUUAUCGAGACCUAACUUGUCCCUGGACUGUGCUAUUGGAUCUGGUAUAAUCGUUGUGUACCUCUUUUAAUCCAUCCAAUUUAUGCAGAUUACCGAGACCUAACUUGUCCCUGGACUGUGCUAUUAGAUCUGGUAUAAUCAUUGUACCUCUUUUAAUCCAUCCAAUUUAUACAGAUUACCGAGACCUAACAUGUCCCUGGACUGUGCUAUUGGAUCUGGUAUAAUUGUUGUGUACCUCUUUUAAUCCAUUCAUUUUAUGCAGAAUACCGAGACCUAACUUGUCCCUGGACUGUGCUAUUGGAUCUGAUUACCGAGACCUAACUUGUUCCUGGACUGUGCUAUUGGAUCUGGUAUAAUCAUUGUACCUCUUGUUUAAUCUGUAUUUCAUUUUGCAGACCUUAAUAAUUUCUGUGGCAGUGGACUCUAGAGAAGUAAGCGCCGCUCUAAUCUUAGCGCCCAAACUCUAAACAAAGUUCUAUUUUUAAACCUGACAUACGUUGCUCCGCUCUAUAAUAUAGUUAAGACUUUUUACAGUAGACAAUUUAUAUAUGCGAUGUAUGUAGCUAUCGGUUAUCUGACUAUCUAAUUAACUAUUUGCCAUGUUUGGUUUCCAAUUGGUAGCCUCUUGUCGGUUGUUUGGUCUUGUCGUUGUGUUUGGUUGUGUCUCGUUAAUUUAAUGUGUUUGGUGGCCUCUUGUUGUUUACGUGUAAUAAUUAUUAUAUGUAGGGUGUUUGGUAAUGGUUUAAUUGUGUACACGUUUUGGUUGUUUAAAAUUGUUACUGUAAAAAGUCCAACAAAAACGCCACUCUAAUCAAUCUAAUCCCUAAACCCUGAAAAAAAAACUUAAAAGCAACUAACAUUUGUCGAAAUUCCAUGUACGUACCAUGGCAGCCUUUUCACGUGCAACAAACUUUAAUUAAAUCGCUUUUUUCACGUGCAAUUUUAUUUUUAUUAUUAUUAUUUAUUUAUUUUUAUUAUUAUUAUUUUUUUGAAAAUAAUAAUUAGGCCAGUGGUAGGGGUAAAAGUCUGAGCAGGUAUUCAGUUUAUGCUGUAACUA
Long non-coding RNA from Halichondria panicea, 2043 nucleotides. RefSeq lists it as uncharacterized. The transcript has 3 exons. Lineage: Eukaryota; Metazoa; Porifera; Demospongiae; Suberitida; Halichondriidae. The record is from RefSeq and is a predicted model, not a curated record.